UAAACCCGUUCAUCCUACCCUUCCCUCUUUUGUUCCAUUGAUUUCUAGUAUUUACGGCCAUAACCAUAUGAUUGAAUAGAAUUCUGGUGUAAAUGAAGCCCCUUUUUCAGUCUCGUUGUCUUCUUAAAACCCUUUUCGAUAGGUUUCAUAGUUUAAGCUACGAUCGUGAACAAGCAUCCUCGCUUUUUCAAUGGGAACUUUUUUUUUUCUCCUAGUUGUAUGCAUAAAUCAUAAUCAUCCGGCAUUUUAUGGUAGAUGGUACCAUUGUCGAUGAUGAUGAUAACCUCUUCAGUUCAAGCAAUGAUUUCGUGUUUUGUUCUUUCAGACUUCAGAGCCUUCUUUCCUGUUUCAUAUUUCCUUGGUACUUUGAUUUCUAAUGGACUCAGUUUGCUCAUCUGGUUCUAUUAUUUGUAGUGUGGUGUGUUAGCAUUAACUUGAUCUUCUUUGCAGUCGGGUCCUCUUUCAGAAUGUAAAUUUUUUAAAUGUUAUUCUCGCAUCUUGUUCUCACAGGAAUACUUUUUAUUAUCUUUACUGUGAAUUCACUAAGCAUAACAUGUCUUUUGUUAUAAAUUUUCUCCCAGUCCAUUGUUUGUCACUUGGAAGAAAGUGGUCAAUGGUGGUGAGCCUCGUUUACGUGGAUGCAUUGGGACUUUGGAGUCUAGAUACUUGAUUAAUGGAUUCAAGGACUAUGCUUUAACCAGGUAUUGAUGAUGAUAUGUUACUCAUUUAAGAAAUAUGUUUUAAUCUGUUGCACUCAAUGUGUGACAAACAAAUGGACAUUUUCACACCUGGAAAACACCAAUAGCAGUAAACUUAGUAUGGAAAAUGUAGUAAAAACUGUAACAAACGUAAUGAAAUUUGGUGCGUUUAAAUGUUGGAGUCAGGCCUGGACUAUUUCAUCCCCAGCUGCAUCAGUUGGCUCCAGAUUAUUUUUUUCACUGAUUUAUUUGUUAAGAUUAGAUGAAUUUAUUGACAAUCAAUUAUUCUGUUGCGGAUUGUAUUUAGUGCAUUUAGAACUUCUCAUUAUACUUCGUACCUCCUUUUAGAUGAAGUUGUUGGAAGAAUAUGUGAAAAGUGGAACAUAGUUUUCUUGAUAUGGAUUAUACAUUUAUAAGAUGGUACUUGUGCUUCAUGCAUAGUCUUACACCCAUCUCGUCUGACCUUUUCAUCAGAAUUAUUUCUGAAACUAGUUUUCUUAAAUACCUGAUUUGAUUGUUUCUGGAUCUUCUCUGGCCGAUUAUCUUAUGCAUGCCUGCCUCUGAAUUCUAAUUACAAUUUUUUGUAUUGGUACAGUGCUUUAAGGGACCGAAGGUUUCCUCCAAUACAGGCAAAAGAGUUGCCUUCCCUAGAAUGUACAGUGUCUAUUCUAACUGAUUAUGAAACUGCUAACAACUAUCUUGACUGGGAGGUAUGCUUUUUUUCUCCCCACACAUUUGGAAUACUAGUCUAUGCUGUAGCUACUUCGUUUAUAAUCACUAGAGGCUGGGGUUGACUUCAAUUUCUGCAGUUUAAGACCCCAGCCAUUUAUAUCACAAGAAAUGAAAGCUGUUAACGAGUCAUGUGGCAGCUCCAGGACGGUGUCCUUAGACAUAGACGGUUGCAGAAAAGCCAAUAUGAUAAAAAAAGUUGUUAGCUUUGUUUACAUGGUGAUGCAAGUAUACAACCUCUGGUGUUUUUCUGGAGGAAAAUCAAAGCCAAAUGGUCGUCUAGAAUCUAGAUUAUAGACUGACCAAAUGCAAACGUACAUUCAAUGAUAUUGCUAAAUUGCCAUUGUAGAUGUUGGAAAAAAACAAUUCCAAGGCCCUCCGACUAUGUGUUGUUGAACCCUUUAUAGUAUGGUGUGAUUUGUCAAAUAUAAAUAAGCUGCUUCUCUAUUUUGCAAGUUUGGAGUGUCAACUUCCAAGUGGUGAUCUGUUUUGUCAAUUAUGUGCUAGGCUGAUGUAUUAGAUGAAUAUAAGCGUUUAUUUGGGAAAGUUGGCAUCCCGUUGGUAGGAGGCAGUCGUCUCAUGUCAUGGCUCUGGUAUAAGAAUAGUGGGAUGCUGCAAAACUGACUUGGAAAAUGAGGAACAACAAGCAUCUUGAAAAAACUAACUUAAUUAGGUUUGAGGAGUUGGGCCCGUAUAUCCACAUUUAGCAUCUCCAAUGAUAUUUGCAUAUAUGCUCUCCGUUUGUGGCUUUUUGGCUGUUGCUUGCUACUCGUAUUGUGUUGCAACGUGCUUGCAUUGAGGCUGGAGUUUGGAGAUGCUAUCUGGGAAUCUGUUCUUGUUACUGGUUCAUCCAAACUUGUAACAAGUUGAAUUGAUCGUGUUACAAUUGCAGUUUGAUGAUGCACCAAUGUUAUAUUCAUAUCACAUUUGCUCUUCACGUAUUUGUUCACGUGUGGGAUAUUGAGGAUCCUAACAAGAAUAUGGUUUUGUGAUUAGCGUAUGAGCACGACAUCAAUGUGAAACAGGAAGUUCAGUUCCCUUUUGGGGGAUGCUAUUGCCCACCCAUAUCGGUAGUGGGUUAAAUACUUGAUAGGUUUGCUAGAUCCGGAUGCUCAGCCAUAUCGGUAGCAUUCCGCGGUCUUGUCUUAGCCACUCUUCCGGAACUCCAUUAGAUCCGACGCCGCCACAAGUUCCACUGUUAAUCACUUCAGCCAAUUCAUCAGAUUAAGUUGUAAUCUAACAAUUGAGUACUUGAUUGCAACUUUGUGACUUGUGAGAGAACCAUAAGUAAUCUACAUUUGUCCUUGGUAGUGUGCGUAUGCAGGCUUAAAGAUACAAGGACUAAAAUAAGCAUGCCUGUAAAGUUCAAGUACUAAAAAGUUCACAAGAACACUCUUCUGUGGUGGGCCGAACUUGAGCUGCUUUUCUGUCUCUUUUGCUCCUUUUUUCUUUUGGCUUUUGCUAUCUAAUUAUCAGUACCGACAUUUUAGCGUAAGCAGAUUGCUCUCUGCUUCCAAUUUUCCUAUUACUUUCCUUCCGCUCCUCAAUCAAAUCGGUCUUCCUCAAUCUCUCUGUGUUUUCAAUUUCAUCUUCUGUUGACGGAUUCUGCUUCUUCCUUAUGAUCUAACCUACUACCCCCCAUCUGCUUGUUUUUUAAGCUUUGAUUGUAUCUGUUCGUGAUCAUAACUUGGUCUGAUCCACUGAAAUUACCAGGUUCUGGUGACGACACAUCUGCCGUUGAUUUUGCUUCUCGGGUUUCUUUGCAUCCCAAGGUUAGGGGCUCUUCCUGAUUCUCUUGAUGUGAACUUCACCUUUUUUUCCUUCAUGCAUGAUAACUGCUCGACGAAAUGCUUUGUUCUGCAACAUGACACUGUCUGUGCUUUCUAUAAUCUGUUUCCUCUUCGCUAUCUAUAUGGCAAGGCUGAGAAGCUUAAAUUUUCUAUGGUAUGGUACCAUCGAUUGUUGAUCGUCGAAACUAAGAACUUUCGAGGAAGUCAAAACCCUGAGUUCAACUGAUAGAUUCCGUUUGGCUUAGUAGGAGUUAUUGCUGUUUGGGCAAUCAUUUAAAACGAAAAGGAAGAAGAAAAAAGACCUCAGUCUUUUGUCUCUUUCUGCUUUGCGGUUGAUCGGUGGGCCGACUCAGAAAUUCGUGUUGGUUAUAGGUUCAAUAUUUCGCAGCUCGUAUCAAUUAUGCAUAAAGAACAGACGAAGCACAAAGUUUUCUUCUUUGUGAAAGUUCUAGGAGGCUAUUUAAUUUCUGUGGUGAUCAAAUUGAAGCCUUGUUCCAUAAUUUUCUCGUCAAUCUAUAUACCUGAAACUGUAGGGAAGCUUAUCAAAGAGAGCUUUUAACUAUCUGCCUGCAUGCGUUUUGCUGAUUGCUAAAUUUGGUGUGCAGUGCAUCUGAGGGUCUGCCACUCCCCUUUUGAGAAAAGAAAUAUGGUUUCCGCAAACAGGGAAAUGGCUGUGUAUUGCUUUGACACUCUCGUUGCUCACUAUAACAACGAGGAAGCACCCCCUCCCGCCUUUGAUGAGGGCCAACAGUAAACCCGUUCAUCCUACCCUUCCCUCUUUUGUUCCAUUGAUUUCUAGUAUUUACGGCCAUAACCAUAUGAUUGAAUAGAAUUCUGGUGUAAAUGAAGCCCCUUUUUCAGUCUCGUUGUCUUCUUAAAACCCUUUUCGAUAGGUUUCAUAGUUUAAGCUACGAUCGUGAACAAGCAUCCUCGCUUUUUCAAUGGGAACUUUUUUUUUUCUCCUAGUUGUAUGCAUAAAUCAUAAUCAUCCGGCAUUUUAUGGUAGAUGGUACCAUUGUCGAUGAUGAUGAUAACCUCUUCAGUUCAAGCAAUGAUUUCGUGUUUUGUUCUUUCAGACUUCAGAGCCUUCUUUCCUGUUUCAUAUUUCCUUGGUACUUUGAUUUCUAAUGGACUCAGUUUGCUCAUCUGGUUCUAUUAUUUGUAGUGUGGUGUGUUAGCAUUAACUUGAUCUUCUUUGCAGUCGGGUCCUCUUUCAGAAUGUAAAUUUUUUAAAUGUUAUUCUCGCAUCUUGUUCUCACAGGAAUACUUUUUAUUAUCUUUACUGUGAAUUCACUAAGCAUAACAUGUCUUUUGUUAUAAAUUUUCUCCCAG
Molecule: long non-coding RNA, 4549 nt
Filed under: Linum usitatissimum (flax)
Lineage: Eukaryota; Viridiplantae; Streptophyta; Magnoliopsida; Malpighiales; Linaceae
Description: long non-coding RNA (LUSI_LNC006082)
Source: RNAcentral